GGUUUUGUAUUCAAAAAUGAUUUCAAAUUGCAAAUUUGAAGGUGUAAGGUUUCUUACUAAGGCUU
RNAcentral lists this transfer RNA (65 nucleotides) under Sungaya inexpectata. Its description in RNAcentral is "tRNA-Cys". The record is from RNAcentral. Lineage: Eukaryota; Metazoa; Arthropoda; Insecta; Phasmatodea; Heteropterygidae.